This 240-nucleotide ribosomal RNA is filed under the name uncultured Lactobacillus sp. Its description in RNAcentral is "partial 16S ribosomal RNA". It matches the Rfam family "Bacterial small subunit ribosomal RNA", at positions 122 to 355 of the family's 1533-position model. Lineage: Bacteria; Bacillati; Bacillota; Bacilli; Lactobacillales; Lactobacillaceae. The record is from RNAcentral.
UAACCUGCCCAAGAGAUCGGGAUAACACCUGGAAACAGAUGCUAAUACCGGAUAACAACAGAUGAUGCCUAUCAACUGUUUAAAAGAUGGUUCUGCUAUCACUCUUGGAUGGACCUGCGGUGCAUUAGCUAGUUGGUAGGGUAACGGCCUACCAAGGCGAUGAUGCAUAGCCGAGUUGAGAGACUGAUCGGCCACAUUGGGACUGAGACAAGGCCCAAACUCCUACGGGAGGCAGCAGCC